CUGUUCAAGUUGCAACAACUGAGUCCUGGAUAGAAAAGGAGAAUUUCAUUCCCGUGGAAUGAUCAGGGACUCAUUUCAAGAGAGUCAAGCUAUGGUUGUCAGCCAUAUUUGUGUGCUUUUUAGAAAGCCUAGUUGACAACACCAGGUUGUGAAAUCUCACUUAGGCAAUUUGGUUGCUUUUAAGUCCCCAAGCAGCAAAGAGAGGACAAAAGGCGGGAUCAGCUCGUGGGGUAGGGUUCUUCAGAGUUCAUUCUUGUAUCAUGAGGCUCAGAAAGUGAGGUCAGCCUUGAAUCUGAAGCUUGAUCACACUGAUUUUCCUGGACCUUACAAGGGGGAUGUUGUCUGUAGUGGCAGAAUUGCACAAGAAGGUUUUGGAAUGGUUAACACAGAGCCUUCAGGAAUCUACUGUGGUGCGUUAUCCCCUAGAGAGAAAUUGGAUUCCAUUCAUCUGUCACUGUAUCAUACCAGCUCUCCUGGAGAAACUAUCAAAAAAUACAGCAAGUCUGUCAAAGCUAAAUGCCUGCUCUGAGUACUGUGGAUGGUGUCUGGGACACCAGCAUACUGCUAGCUGGAGAAGCAGUUACCCCUACCGAAGAGGAACUUUCUGCCCUUGCCUUACAGAUGGCCUAAUUAUAAAGAAAGAAAAGAGAAACAUUGUGGAGGUGCAAAAGACAAGUCGGGAUUCCCCUCUGGCAGCUCCUCCUUCCAGGCUCUGUGGAAAUGACUUUGUUUGUUGGGAAAUACAGAGGGACACUCAGUCUAUUUCUCACACACCCCAGCCAGUUACCUCAGGUCUCUUCAUGAGUGGGCAAUGGUCCAUGAUAAACACUCAGUUUUGGAUGCCAUCUUUUCAGGACCCUGUUGGUCCCUCUCUCAUCAGCUUAAGCUGA
This 890-nucleotide long non-coding RNA is filed under the name Anas platyrhynchos platyrhynchos (common mallard). RNAcentral's name for it is "lncRNA (ENSAPLG00000019571.1)". Lineage: Eukaryota; Metazoa; Chordata; Aves; Anseriformes; Anatidae. The record is from RNAcentral.